GCCCUCUCAGGAUCGUACCUGGAGAGUUUCCAGUACUCUACCAGUCUCGAUUAUGGGAGGGAGAGUCAAGCAGAGGCCUACCCAUUCCAGUCCUAACUUGGGCAGUAGCUAGUGAGAGGAAGGUAAUCUGCUAUAAGU
Molecule: small nucleolar RNA, 138 nt
Organism: Tachyglossus aculeatus (Australian echidna)
Lineage: Eukaryota; Metazoa; Chordata; Mammalia; Monotremata; Tachyglossidae
Source: RefSeq, a predicted model, not a curated record